GACGAACGCUGGCGGCGUGCCUAAUACAUGCAAGUCGAACGCACAGUUUAUACCGUAGCUUGCUACACCAUAGACUGUGAGUUGCGAACGGGUGAGUAACGCGUAGGUAACCUGCCUGGUGGCGGGGGAUAACUAUUGGAAACGAUAGCUAAUACCUCAUAAUAUUAAUUAUUGCAUGAUAAUUAAUUGAAAGGUGCAAUUGCACCACUACCAGAGGGACCUGCGUUGUAUUAGCUAGUAGGGGAGGUAACGGCUCACCUAGGCGACGAUACAUAGCCGACCAGGAAGGGGGGUCGGCCACCCUGGGACGGGGACACGGCCCAGAACCCUGCGGGAGGGAGCAGUAGGGAAUCUUCGGCAAUGGGCGAAAGUCUGAACGGGGAACGCCGCGGGAGGGAAGAAGGGUGUCGGGUCGGAAAGCUCUUGUGUAAGGGAAGAACGGAAGUGAGAGUGGAAAGUUCACACUGUGACGGUACCUUACCAGAAAGCGACGGCUAACUACGUG
This 505-nucleotide ribosomal RNA is filed under the name uncultured bacterium. RNAcentral's name for it is "partial 16S ribosomal RNA". It matches the Rfam family "Bacterial small subunit ribosomal RNA", at positions 28 to 507 of the family's 1533-position model. The record is from RNAcentral.